Molecule: transfer RNA, 101 nt
Filed under: Rhizoctonia solani
Lineage: Eukaryota; Fungi; Basidiomycota; Agaricomycetes; Cantharellales; Ceratobasidiaceae
Description: tRNA-His
Rfam family: tRNA
About the family: Transfer RNA (tRNA) molecules are approximately 80 nucleotides in length. Their secondary structure includes four short double-helical elements and three loops (D, anti-codon, and T loops).
Source: RNAcentral
GCUCCUAUGGUCUAGUGGUUAUGACGCUUCGUUGUGGUUGGACUAGCUUAAUAGAUUUUAUAAUUACCGAAGCAGCUUGUGUUCGAUUCACAAUAGGGGCA